UUACAGGCGUGAGCCACCGCGCCCGGCCUGUUUGCUCUUCUUAUCUCAUUAAAGCCAGCCCGGCUUUCGUCUUACUGUCUCUUAGCUUCUGAAAGGUCUAAUUCACUGGCACUGAAGAGUGAGGGCAGGACCCGUUAAACUGGUGCAAACGACACUUCUGAUCCUGUCCUUUCUGGGCUCGUUUCUGCACCACACAGACACUUUUCUCUGUAGGCCAUGGAAGAGCUGGUGGAUGAAGGGCUGGUGAAAGCUAUUGGCAUCUCCAACUUCAACCAUCUCCAGGUGGAGACGAUCUUAAACAAACCUGGCUUAAAGUAUAAUCCUGCAGUUAACCAGAUUGAGUGCCACCCAUAUCUCACUCAGGAGAAGUUAAUCCAGUACUGCCAGUCCAAAGGCAUCGUGGUGACCGCCUACAGCCCCCUCGGCUCUCCUGACAGGCCCUGGGCCAAGCCCGAGGACCCUUCCCUCCUGGAGGAUCCCAGGAUCAAAGCGAUCGCAGCCAAGCACAAUAAAACUACAGCCCAGGUACAGCCACUUCAGGUGUUCCUG
This 549-nucleotide small RNA is filed under the name Pongo abelii (Sumatran orangutan). RNAcentral describes it as "retained intron". Lineage: Eukaryota; Metazoa; Chordata; Mammalia; Primates; Hominidae. The record is from RNAcentral.